UAAGUAAGUGUUUAAGGGCGCAUGGUGGAUGCCUUGGCAUCGAGAGCCGAUGAAGGACGUGGGAGGCUGCGAUAUGCCUCGGGGAGCUGUCAACCGAGCAUUGAUCCGAGGAUUUCCGAAUGGGGAAACCCAGCACGAGUGAUGUCGUGUUACCCGUAUCUGAAUAUAUAGGGUGCGGGAGGUAACGCGGGG
This 192-nucleotide ribosomal RNA is filed under the name Mycobacterium avium 10-5581. RNAcentral describes it as "partial 23S ribosomal RNA". It matches the Rfam family "Bacterial large subunit ribosomal RNA", at positions 1 to 190 of the family's 2925-position model. Lineage: Bacteria; Bacillati; Actinomycetota; Actinomycetes; Mycobacteriales; Mycobacteriaceae. The record is from RNAcentral.